Non-coding RNA from Chiloscyllium plagiosum (whitespotted bambooshark), 2998 nucleotides. The record is from RefSeq and is a predicted model, not a curated record. NCBI's taxonomy places the organism in Eukaryota, Metazoa, Chordata, Chondrichthyes, Orectolobiformes, Hemiscylliidae.
GUUUAGACAGUAGAUUUUGAUUGGCUCAGGGCUGAAGGGCCUGUUCCUGGGCUGUAAAGUUUCUUUGUUUGUUCUUUAAUCCUGUGUUCUACUUAGCCUAUUAAACAGGCUCAUGGUGUUGUAGCCUUUUGAAACAUAUAUUUUAAUGCAAAUAAUGACUUGGAUAAUUCAAGUGAAGUUUAGUUUGCAACAACAAAUUUAAGCAAGUUUCACAGCUGUUAAAAUGCUAAGAAAUCUGUAGCAAGGUCAGCAACCUCAGUGUCAGCAGAGGUAACAUAUUUAAGUCAUUGAGCUUUGUAUUAAUAUUUAUCGUCUCAUUUUAGUUUGAAAACCACAGGCACACUAAUUAGGUGAAAUAGGAUUUUGAAGCUGUAAUAUUUGUUAAUGCUUUAUCUGUCAGUUCAGUCCAUUCGUACUUUAGUUAAUUUGAAAUUGGUGUCACGAUUGCCACUACUACAAAUAAGCCUAACACCAAAUAGUUUGGUAGGGCAAACCAGCAUGCACUGUCCACUUAUAGAAUGUACAGUCAACUUCUUGUACUUGUCCUUCUACCAGAAACAGCUUUGCAUUUUACACAUAAGCAAACUACCUACCUGCAUGAUACUCAGUUGAUCUUUAUAAUGGGGUGCAUUUCCAGAUAGUCUGCUUGUUUUACAGAAGCUUGUAGAAGUAUUUGGUUGAUACUUAACAAGGUAGUGCUCAGAAUUGCUUCUUUGUUGCUUAGAUCUGUUGUUUUAGACAAUACCUUACACUGAAGGUUAUCUGAUCUAACUCCUGUUUCCUUUUAUUAAAUUUCCAGUGCUUCAGCAAAGAAAAAAUACACGUACCUGGCCAGUUUGACUGAUAGGCAUGUCACCUAGUGGUUGGCAUAGCAAGACUAUUACAAUGGAUACAUUUUGAUAAUAACAUCUAAGCAAACAUGGAAACAAACUAAAAUGUGUGGUCUGGCUGACUUGGCAUGUCUUAUUUUCAUAUGACACCUUUACUAUCCCUAUAUUUAUUUCUGUUACUACAUAGGUCAAGUAUCUAGUUUGAUUAAUCACCAGUAUGGCCUAGAACUAGGGGGCAUAGUCUAAGAAUUAGAACCAGACUGUUCAGGAGUACUUUACAUAUAAAGAAUAGUAGAUGUUUGGAAUUGCUCCACAAAUGGCAAUGGAUAUUGGAUCAGUUCAUUUUAAAUCUGAGAUCAUUUUUUUGAGAAGCACAGUUAUCAAGGGGUAUGUGCCAAAGGCAAGUAUGUGGAGUUAGCCCACAGAUUAGCCAUGCUCUCAUUGAAUGGUGGAACAAGCUGAAGGGCCUACUCCUGUUCCAGUGGUCAGAAAAGUUAGUCAGAGAAUGUUAAAGCUUUGUCUUCUGGCUAAUAUUGGUACACACUUGAAGAAACAAUUUUUUACUUGGCCAAAAUUCAGUAAAUUGAGAGCUUUCUAAUUAACUCAUUCAGAGAUGUUCAACACUUGAAGAAUAUGUGGGACCUGAAGCUGGUCCUCCUUCCCCAGAAGUAUUGGCAUUACCAUCACUUCGCAAAGCCCCAUCCCACCCACUGCAAAUUGUGAAAGUUUUUAACAGUUUGAAAAGUCUGCUGUGGAUUAGCUGCUUUCUUUAAUAUUCAAGCAAUUCACAUCUGUUGAAAGGCUUUACCCAUCAAAUCAGAAACAUUAGUAAAACCUACUAAUAUUACAUAUUUAUACAAUUGACUCAUCCAUUGAAAGGUGAUAGCUAGUUUAUAUCCAGUUUGUUGUCAGCAAUAAUAAAAACAGAAAAUGCUAGAAAUACUUGGCCAGUGAGGCAGCAUCUGUGGAGAGAGAGCAGACUGGUUAAAUUUCAGGUCAGUGAUUUCACUGAAAGGUCAUAGAUCUGAAUCAUCAGUUAUCUAUCUCUCUCUUCAUACUUGUGCCUGUGCUGCUGAAUCUUCCAGCAUAUUCUAUUUUUUUAUUUCAGAUUUCCAGCAUCUACAAUGGUUUAUGUUAGAUUCCAGAGAAAGAGGAUUUAUAUUUUCUGUGUACUCUGAUCAAAUCUGUCCUUAGGCUAACUGUUUACAUGCCAAUCCUAUGGCCUACUAUGUGUUCGCUUUUUUUUGGUAAACCACAGAUUUUUGUUCCUUGCAUUUCAGUCAAUUUAAAGAAGUUUACAGUGAUGGUUCUGCCAGACAAGUCAACAAGCUGGUCCAUAACCAGUGUUUUACCAAUUGGAAUAAGUGAAAAUUUGGGCCUGACAUCCCUGAAGUUGGGCUGCUUUUCUAGGUGGUCCUAAGUUUAAAACAGUGGAAUUCAAGUUGGCCCAAUGUGUUGAUUUUUCAUUCCUACCCACCUUCCCUCCCUGGGAACCAUCUUUGGAUGAAAUUGGAUCUGAUCGAACUCCAUGAACUUGAUUUUGUUCAGAUCAAGGAAUUGUUUCAAGAGUUUGAAUAUCUAGUCCUCCAGUGUGAAGAAGUCAACUCAUUUCAGUUAAUUUAUUCAUCAACCUCUUCUCUGGCACACUGUCCAGGGGCUUCCAGCACAACGUACAUGGCUGAAGUAAAAUUGAUGUGUCAAGUUGGUUACCUAACUUCCAAACAAUUUAAUAUACAACUAUUUUCUUCUGUUUUUCAUUCACAGAAUUCUGCACAGAUAUGAAAUCUUGACUGUGCAAGUAAGAAAAUAGGGCAUACCUAAACAGGGUGAAGGCUUUGGAGAUGUGCUAAAUUUGUCCUUAGUUUUUGAUGGUGAAAAGGUUGCAUCAGUUUACCCUAUGGCCACUACAGUCAAUAUUGGACUGCAUGAUCCGUGUUUUUCUAAGCUGUCUCUUCAGUGACAAGUUAAUUCCAAGGUUAAUAUUCAUGAAGAAAAGAAAUGUGGAAGAAGUCAAUUGACAAGUUUUGUGUAAUAAUUGAAGCUCAGGAAUAAGUGAAGCUGAAUUGGGGAAAAAAAAGAAUGCAUGCUAAAAAAAAAGACACGAAGUCCCACAAAUAGAAUGUGUGCAGUGUGUGAAGUGGGAAGAUGAACCAAGUGAGAAUUUGAAA